This 402-nucleotide ribosomal RNA is filed under the name uncultured bacterium. Its description in RNAcentral is "bacterial SSU rRNA". It matches the Rfam family "Bacterial small subunit ribosomal RNA", at positions 355 to 775 of the family's 1533-position model. The record is from RNAcentral.
UAGGGAAUAUUAGUAAUGGGCGAAAGCCUGAACUAGCAACGCCGCGUGUGCGAAGAAGGCCUUCGGGUUGUAAGCCACUUUUGAAAGGAAGAGGAAAGACGGUACUCCCAGAAUUAAUCCUGGCCAACUACGUGCCAGCAGCCGCGGUAAAACGGAGGAGGCGAACGUUAAUCGGAAUUACUGGGCGUAAAGCGCGUGUAGGUGGUUUGGUAAGUAGGGCGUGAAAGCUCCUGGCUCAACUGGGAGAGGCCGUUCUAAACUGCCGAACUAGAGGAUGGUAGAGGGAGGUGGAAUUCCGGGUGUAGCGGUGGAAUGCGCAGAUAUCCGGAGGAACACCAGUGGCGAAAGCGGCCUCCUGGACCAUUCCUGACACUCAGACGCGAAAGCUAGGGUAGCGAACGG